UAAAGUGGCUAGUGAUACAUGUAUUACAUAAGGAUGCAGUCGAUGAUAUAGAGUACAGUAUCAACGUAUGCAUAUGAGAUGAACAAUGUAGGGUAAGUAACAUUAUAUAAGGUAGCAUUGUUUAAAGUGGCUAGUGAUAUAUUUACAUCAUUUCCCAUCAAUUCCCAUGAUUAAAGUGGCUGGAGUAGAGUCAGUGUCAUUGACAGUGUGUUGGCAGUAGCCACUCAAUGUUAGUGGUGGCUGUUUAACAGUCUGAUGGCCUUGAGAUAGAAGCUGUUUUUCAGUCUCUCGGUCCCAGCUUUGAUGCACCUGUACUGACCUCGCCUUCUGGAUGACAGCGGGGUGAACAGGCAGUGGCUCGGGUGGUUGAUAUCCUUGAUGAUCUUUAUGGCCUUCCUGUAGCAUCGGGUGGUGUAGGUGUCCUGGAGGGCAGGUAGUUUGCCCCCGGUGAUGCGUUGUGCAGACCUCACUACCCUCUGGAGAGCCUUACGGUUGAGGGCGGUGCAGUUGCCAUACCAGGCGGUGAUACAGCCCGCCAGGAUGGUGGGAGGGUUAAAUACACAACAGGUAAUUAAAUGGCAUUGAAACCAGGUGUGUUGGAAGACAAGACAAAACCAAUGGGAAAUGAAAAAUGGAUCAAUGAUGACUAGAAGACCGGUGACGUCGACCGAGGAGCACCGCCCGAACAAGGAGAGGCAACAACUUCGGCAGAAGUAGUGACAACGGGUUUAGGAUUGUAUAGGGUUAAAACAUUAGGUUUAGUCUCUCAUUCUAAAUGGUUAAGGUAAAGGUCAAGGUUUGGAAAGGGUUAAGGUACUGGUCAAGGAUUGGAUAGGGUUAAGGUACUGGUUAAGGAUUGGAUAGGGUUAAGGUACUGGUUAAGGUUUGGAUAGGGUUAAGGUACUGGUUAAGGUUUGGAUAGGGUUAAGGUACUGGUUAAGGUUUGGAUAGGGUUAAGGUACUGGUCAAGGUUUGGAUAGGGUUAAGGUACUGGUCAAGGUUUGGAUAGGGUUAAGGUACUGGUUAAGGAUUGGAUAGGGUUACGGUACUGGUCAAGGUUUGGAUAGGGUUAAGGUACUGGUUAAGGAUUGGAUAGGGUUAAGGUACUGGUUAAGGUUUGGAUAGGGUUAAGGUACUGGUUAAGGAUUGGAUAGGUUUAAGGUACUGGUCAAGGUUUGGAUAGGGUUAAGGUACUGGUCAAGGUUUGGAUAGGGUUAAGGUACUGGUUAAGGAUUGGAUAGGGUUAAGGUACUGGUCAAGGAUUGGAUAGGGUUAAGGUACUGGUUAAGGAUUGGAUAGGGUUAAGGUACUGGUCAAGGUUUGGAUAGGGUUAAGGUACUGGUUAAGGAUUGGAUAGGGUUAAGGUACUGGUCAAGGUUUGGAUAGGGCUAAGGUACUGGUUAAGGAUUCUAUAGGGUUAAGACAUUGAGUUUAGUCUCUCAUUCUGAAUGGUUAAGGUAAAGGUCAAGGUUUGGAUAGGGUUAAGUUAAAACCAACUAUAAAAACCAGUGUCUGUGACCAGGAUCAAACACACAGCCUUCUGAUCCAGAGGUAUGGGAUUCCACCUCUCCAUCCGCUCAUCCACAACACUCCAGCAAAACCCAGGCCUACUUGAUGGUAAUAGUGCUCACUGUUGCCUCUAGUGGCUGGUUUUGAAGGCAUUUCCCGAUGUCUUCAGGAAAGCGAUAGACGUCCAAUUUCAACAAUAAUCUUGAACGAACUGGCUGCACACACACACACACACACACACACACACACACACACACAAUGCCUCGGAUCCCUAAGCGCUUCCUGCUAGCCGACCUGUGAAUGUCUAUCUGCUAGGAGGGCUCUUACUCUGGCCCUUUGCCUCAUACUUGGAGAUUGCCCCACAUUUGGAGGAGGGAUGGGAUGAUGGUACAAGUCAGUUAGUAUGACGCGAGGGCACUGAGGGAGUGUCCCAAAUGUCAGCCUAUUACCUAUAGUGCACUACUUUUGCCCAGGGUUCAUAGGGAAGAGGAUGCCAUUUGGUAUGGUACCUACCUACUGCAUCAUUUUAAAGAUACUGUAUAGAUAGAUAUAUACAGUACCAGUCAAAGUUUGGACUCAGCUACUCAAUCAAGGUUUUUUCUUUGUUUUGUACUAUUUUGUACAAAACUAUGACACAUAUGGAAUCAUGCAGUAACCAAAAAAGUGUAAAACAAAUCAAAAUAUAAUUUAUAUUUGAGAUUCUUCAAAGUAGCCACCCCUUGCCUCGAUAACAGCUUUGCACACUCUUGGCAUUCUCUCAACCGGCUUCAUGAGGUAGUCACCUGGAAUGCAUUUCAAUUAACAUGUGUGCCUUGUUAAAAGUUAAUUUGUGGAAUUUCUUUCCUUCUUUAAUGAGUUUGAGCCAAUCAGUUGUGUUUUGACAAGGUAGGGGUGGUAUACAGGUAAAAGACAAAGUCCAUAUUAUGGCAACAACAGCUAAGCAAAGAGAAACAACAGUGGGUCCAAACUUUUGACUGGUACUAUAUGUAGUGCACUACUUUUGACCAGGGUUCAUAUAUGUAGUGCACUACUUUUGACCAGGGUUCAUAUAUGUAGUGCACUACUUUUGGCCAGGGUUCAAAUAUGUAGUGCACUACUUUUGGCCAGGGUUCAUAUAUGUAGUGCACUACUUUUGACCAGGGUUCAUAUAUGUAGUGCACUACUUUUGGCCAGGGUUCAAAUAUGUAGUGCACUACUUUUGGCCAGGGUUCAUAUAUGUAGUGCACUACUUUUGACCAGGGUUCAUAUAUGUAGUGCACUACUUUUGGCCAGGGUUCAUAUAUGUAGUGCACUACUUUUGGCCAGGGUUCAUAUAUGUAGUGCACUACUUCUGACCAGGGUUCAUAUAUGUAGUGCACUACAUUUGACCAGGGUUCAUAUAUGUAGUGCACUACUUUUGACCAGGGCUGCUGUUUAACAGGCUCCCAACCAGCUGUGCUAUUGUGUUAGUUUUUUCGCAUUGUUAGUAACUUGUUUUGUACAUAAUGUUGCUUCUACCGUCUCUUAUGACCGGAAAGAGCUUCUGGACGUCAGAACGGCGAUUCCUCACCUCGAACUGGAUGAAGAUUUUUUCUUUAAUGAGUCCGAUGCAAAGGAUUUACUGCUUUGUCAAGGUCCAAAUCCCCGUCAU
Oncorhynchus tshawytscha (Chinook salmon) is the source of this 3139-nucleotide long non-coding RNA. NCBI's taxonomy places the organism in Eukaryota, Metazoa, Chordata, Actinopteri, Salmoniformes, Salmonidae. The record is from Ensembl.